GAUGAACGCUGGCGGCGUGCCUAAUACAUGCAAGUCGAGCGAACAGACGAGGAGCUUGCUCCUCUGACGUUAGCGGCGGACGGGUGAGUAACACGUGGAUAACCUACCUAUAAGACUGGGAUAACUUCGGGAAACCGGGGCUAAUACCGGAUAAUAUAUUGAACCGAAUGGUUAAAUAGUGAAAGACGGUUUUGCUGUCACUUAUAAAUGGAUCCGCGCCGCAUUAGCUAGUUGGUAAGGUAACGGCUUACCAAGGCAACGAUGCGUAGCCGACCUGAGAGGGUGAUCGGCCACACUGGAACUGAGACACGGUCCAGACUCCUACGGGAGGCAGCAGUAGGGAAUCUUCCGCAAUGGGCGAAAGCCUGACGGAGCAACGCCGCGUGAGUGAUGAAGGUCUUCGGAUCGUAAAACUCUGUUAUUAGGGAAGAACAAAUGUGUAAGUAACUAUGCACGUCUUGACGGUACCUAAUCAGAAAGCCACGGCUAACUACGUG
Molecule: ribosomal RNA, 497 nt
Filed under: uncultured bacterium
Lineage: Bacteria
Description: partial 16S ribosomal RNA
Rfam family: Bacterial small subunit ribosomal RNA
Source: RNAcentral